UAGUUGGUGGGGUAAAGGCUUACCAAGGCAAUGAUGCGUANCCGAACUGAGAGGUUGAUCGGCCACAUUGGGACUGAGACACGGCCCAAACUCCUACGGGAGGCAGCAGUAGGGAAUCUUCCACAAUGGGNNAAAGCCUGAUGGAGCAACGCCGCGUGGGUGAAGAAGGUCUUCGGAUCGUAAAACCCUGUUGUUAGAGAAGAAAGUGCGUGAGAGUAACUGUUCACGUUUCGACGGUAUCUAACCAGAAAGCCACGGCUAACUACGUGCCAGCAGCCGCGGUAAUACGUAGGUGGCAAGCGUUAUCCGGACUUAUUGGGCGUAAAGGGAACGCAGGCGGUCUUUUAAGUCUGAUGUGAAAGCCUUCGGCUUANCCGGAGUANUGCAUUGGAAACUGGGANACUUGANUGCNNAAGAGGAGAGUGGAACUCCAUGUGUAGCGGUGAAAUGCGUAGAUAUAUGGAAGAACACCAGUGGCNANNGCGGCUCUCUGGUCUGUANCUGACGCUGAGGUUCGAAAGCGUGGGUAGCAAAUAGUCCACGCCGUNAACGAUGAAUGCNNUUNANUGCUGCAGCUAACGCAAUAAGCAUUCCGNUGUGGUUUAAUUCGAAGCAAC
RNAcentral lists this ribosomal RNA (617 nucleotides) under uncultured bacterium. RNAcentral describes it as "partial 16S ribosomal RNA". It matches the Rfam family "Bacterial small subunit ribosomal RNA", at positions 246 to 873 of the family's 1533-position model. The record is from RNAcentral.